CCUACGGGAGGCAGCAGUGGGGAAUUUUGCGCAAUGCUCGUAAGAGUGACGCAGCGACGCCGCGUGAAUGACGAAGGCCCUCGGGUCGUAAAGCUCUUUCGACAGGGAAGUAAAUGCCUAUAAGUAACCGUGUAUGUAUUGACGGUACCUGUAUAAGCAGCCCCGGCUAACUCCGUGCCAGCAGCCGCGGUAAUACGGAGGGGGCGGGCGUUGUUCGGAGUGACUGGGCGUAAAGAGAACGUAGGCGGUGGUGUAAGUCAUUAGUCAAAGACUAGAGCUCAACUUUAGUAAGGCUGGUGAUACUAGAAGACUAGAGUAUCAGAGAGGAUUGCAGAAUUCCUGGUGUAGCGGUGAAAUGCGUAGAUAUCAGGAAGAAUACCGUUAGCGAAGGCGGCAAUCUGGCUGGAAACUGACGCUGAGGUGCGAAAGCGUGGGUAGCAAACAGGAUUAGAUACCCCUGUAGUC
RNAcentral lists this ribosomal RNA (465 nucleotides) under uncultured bacterium. Its description in RNAcentral is "partial 16S ribosomal RNA". It matches the Rfam family "Bacterial small subunit ribosomal RNA", at positions 338 to 795 of the family's 1533-position model. The record is from RNAcentral.